CAAAUGACCACAAUAUUUGGCAUCAUCAAUAUGAUCUUCAAAGAACAUCUAAAAAGGAAUUUUGAAGAAAAAAAAAAGAUAAUUUUAACCAAAAGUACCACUUGCAAUUUAUAUUUCAGUAAUGCCAUUCCUGUAAGCAAUGAAUCAGAUCCUGCCUGAUGUUGUGGUCCUAUUCGUUCCAACUCUAACUGUUCAGCAACUUCCUGUAAUCCACCCUAGAAGAAAUAAAAAUUGCUUGUCAUAGAGAGAAA
This is a long non-coding RNA of Marmota flaviventris (yellow-bellied marmot), 251 nucleotides long. RefSeq lists it as uncharacterized. The record is from RefSeq and is a predicted model, not a curated record. Lineage: Eukaryota; Metazoa; Chordata; Mammalia; Rodentia; Sciuridae.